Molecule: ribosomal RNA, 469 nt
Filed under: uncultured Pseudomonadota bacterium
Lineage: Bacteria; Pseudomonadati; Pseudomonadota
Description: bacterial SSU rRNA
Rfam family: Bacterial small subunit ribosomal RNA
Source: RNAcentral
ACGCUGGCGGUAGGCUUAACACAUGCAAGUCGUGCGAGAAAGUAUCUUCGGAUAUGAGUAGAGCGGCGGACGGGUGAGUAACGCGUAGGAAUCUACCUAGUAGAAGGGGAUAGCCCGGGGAAACUCGGAUUAAUACCGUAUACCUCCUUUGGGAGAAAGAGGGCCUCUCUUGAUGCUCUCGCUAUUAGAUGAGCCUGCGUAAGAUUAGCUAGUUGGUAAGGUAAUGGCUUACCAAGGCUACGAUCUUUAGCUGGUCUGAGAGGACGAUCAGCCACAUUGGGACUGAGACACGGCCCAGACUCCUACGGGAGGCAGCAGUGGGGAAUAUUGGACAAUGGGCGCAAGCCUGAUCCAGCCAUACCGCGUGUGUGAAGAAGGCCUUCGGGUUGUAAAGCACUUUAAGCAGGGAGAAAAAGCUAUAAGUUAAUACCUUAUAGCCGUGAUGUUACCUGCAGAAUAAGCACCGGCU